AGAGUUUGAUCAUGGCUCAGAACGAACGCUGGCGGCAGGCCUAACACAUGCAAGUCGAACGAGAAGCCACCUUCGGGUGGUGGACAGUGGCAGACGGGUGAGUAACGCGUGGGAACGUGCCUUUCGGUUCGGAAUAACCCAGGGAAACUUGGGCUAAUACCGGAUACGCCCUCCGGGGGAAAGAUUCAUCGCCGAAAGAUCGGCCCGCGUCGGAUUAGCUAGUUGGUGGGGUAAUGGCUCACCAAGGCGACGAUCCGUAGCUGGUCUGAGAGGAUGACCAGCCACACUGGGACUGAGACACGGCCCAGACUCCUACGGGAGGCAGCAGUGGGGAAUAUUGGACAAUGGGCGAAAGCCUGAUCCAGCCAUGCCGCGUGGGUGAAGAAGGCCUUAGGGUUGUAAACCCCUUUCAGCGGGGAAGAUAAUGACGGUACCCGCAGAAGAAGUCCCGGCUAACUCCGUGCCAGCAGCCGCGGUAAUACGGAGGGGACUAGCGUUGUUCGGAAUUACUGGGCGUAAAGCGCACGUAGGCGGAUUUGUAAGUCAGGGGUGAAAUCCCGGGGCUCAACCUCGGAACUGCCUUUGAUACUGCAAAUCUCGAGUCCGGAAGAGGUGAGUGGAAUUCCUAGUGUAGAGGUGAAAUUCGUAGAUAUUAGGAAGAACACCAGUGGCGAAGGCGGCUCACUGGUCCGGUACUGACGCUGAGGUGGGAAAGCGUGGGGAGCAAACAGGAUUAGAUACCCUAGUAGUCC
RNAcentral lists this ribosomal RNA (752 nucleotides) under uncultured bacterium. Its description in RNAcentral is "bacterial SSU rRNA". It matches the Rfam family "Bacterial small subunit ribosomal RNA", at positions 8 to 796 of the family's 1533-position model. The record is from RNAcentral.